RNAcentral lists this ribosomal RNA (529 nucleotides) under uncultured Anoxybacillus sp. RNAcentral's name for it is "bacterial SSU rRNA". It matches the Rfam family "Bacterial small subunit ribosomal RNA", at positions 8 to 522 of the family's 1533-position model. Lineage: Bacteria; Bacillati; Bacillota; Bacilli; Caryophanales; Anoxybacillaceae. The record is from RNAcentral.
AGAGUUUGAUCCUGGCUCAGGACGAACGCUGGCGGCGUGCCUAAUACAUGCAAGUCGAGCGGACGAAUCGAAAGCUUGCUUUUGAUUCGUUAGCGGCGGACGGGUGAGUAACACGUGGGCAACCUGCCCUGUAGACGGGGAUAACACCGAGAAAUCGGUGCUAAUACCGGAUAACACGAAAUGUCGCAUGACGUUUCGUUGAAAGACGGCGCAAGCUGUCGCUACAGGAUGGGCCCGCGGCGCAUUAGCUAGUUGGUGAGGUAACGGCUCACCAAGGCGACGAUGCGUAGCCGACCUGAGAGGGUGAUCGGCCACACUGGGACUGAGACACGGCCCAGACUCCUACGGGAGGCAGCAGUAAGGAAUAUUGGACAAUGGUCGCAAGACUGAUCCAGCCAUGCCGCGUGAAGGACCGAAGGUUCUAUGAAUUGUAAACUUCUUUUGUAUGGGAAAAAACCCCUGGACGUGUCCGGGGCUGAUUGUACCAUAAGAAUAAGGGUCGGCUAACUUCGUGCCAGCAGCCGCGGUA